This 429-nucleotide ribosomal RNA is filed under the name Bacteroidota bacterium. RNAcentral describes it as "Bacteroidetes bacterium partial 16S ribosomal RNA". It matches the Rfam family "Bacterial small subunit ribosomal RNA", at positions 355 to 776 of the family's 1533-position model. The record is from RNAcentral. Lineage: Bacteria; Pseudomonadati; Bacteroidota.
UAGGGAAUCUUCCGCAAUGGACGCAAGUCUGACGGAGCAACGCCGCGUGAGUGAAGAAGGAUUUCGGUUCGUAAAACUCUGUUGUUAGAGAAGAACAGCGCAUAGAGUAACUGUUAUGCGUGUGACGGUAUCUAACCAGAAAGCCACGGCUAACUACGUGCCAGCAGCCGCGGUAAUACGUAGGUGGCAAGCGUUGUCCGGAUUUAUUGGGCGUAAAGCGAGCGCAGGCGGUCAAUUAAGUCUGAUGUGAAAGCCCCCGGCUCAACCGGGGAGGGUCAUUGGAAACUGGUUGGCUUGAGUGCAGAAGAGGAGAGUGGAAUUCCAUGUGUAGCGGUGAAAUGCGUAGAUAUAUGGGGGAACACCAGUGGCGAAGGCGACUCUCUGGUCUGUAACUGACGCUGAGGCUCGAAAGCGUGGGUAGCAAACAGG